GAUGAACGCUGGCGGCGUGCCUAAUACAUGCAAGUCGAGCGAACAGAUAAGGAGCUUGCUCCUUUGACGUUAGCGGCGGACGGGUGAGUAACACGUGGGUAACCUACCUAUAAGACUGGGAUAACUUCGGGAAACCGGAGCUAAUACCGGAUAACAUUUGGAACCGCAUGGUUCUAAAGUGAAAGAUGGUUUUGCUAUCACUUAUAGAUGGACCCGCGCCGUAUUAGCUAGUUGGUAAGGUAACGGCUUACCAAGGCAACGAUACGUAGCCGACCUGAAAGGGGGAUCGGCCCACCAGAAAUGAAAACACGGCCCAGACUCCUACGGGAGGCACCAGAAGGGAAUCUACCGCAAUGGGCGAAAGCCUAGAGGGGCAACGCCGCGGGAGUGAUGAAGGGUUGCGGCUCGUAAAACCCUUUUUUUAGGAAAGAAAAAACGUGUAAAUAACUGGGCAAGUCUGAGCGGUACCAAAUCAGAAAGCCCCGGCAAACUCCGG
Molecule: ribosomal RNA, 496 nt
Filed under: uncultured bacterium
Lineage: Bacteria
Description: partial 16S ribosomal RNA
Rfam family: Bacterial small subunit ribosomal RNA
Source: RNAcentral